This 253-nucleotide ribosomal RNA is filed under the name uncultured microorganism. RNAcentral's name for it is "partial 16S ribosomal RNA". It matches the Rfam family "Bacterial small subunit ribosomal RNA", at positions 524 to 776 of the family's 1533-position model. The record is from RNAcentral.
UACGAAGGGUGCAAGCGUUACUCGGAAUUACUGGGCGUAAAGCGUGCGUAGGUGGUUGUUUAAGUCUGUUGUGAAAGCCCUGGGCUCAACCUGGGAACUGCAGUGGAAACUGGAUGACUAGAGUGUGGUAGAGGGUAGCGGAAUUCCCGGUGUAGCAGUGAAAUGCGUAGAGAUCGGGAGGAACAUCCAUGGCGAAGGCAGCUACCUGGGCCUGUACUGACGCUCAUGCACGAAAGCGUGGGGAGCAAACAGG